Bos indicus x Bos taurus (hybrid cattle) is the source of this 1597-nucleotide long non-coding RNA. Lineage: Eukaryota; Metazoa; Chordata; Mammalia; Artiodactyla; Bovidae. The record is from Ensembl.
CUUACAGUGCUACCUGAGCUCCCAGACGACAACUAGUGCUGGCUGCCCAUCGAGCAACGAGCCAUCUUGGAUGUCCAGCCCAGUCAAACCACCAAAUUACUGCAGGUCCUGGUGACCUCUGAUGACAACCUUGUGAAAGACCCCUAAGUGCUGAACUAUUCAAUGGCACCCUUCUCAGACUUUUGACCCAUAAUUUUAUGAGCAAAAUUAAAUGGAUUUUUUAGCUGCUACAUUUGAGGGUACUAAGCUGUGCAGAAAUAGUAACUGAAAUAUUAGCGACAAACAGUUUCUCCUAAUCCUAUACAUAUAUGCUAUGCCACCGUCUAGAGAUAAUGUCUUGUUAAAUCCAGGCUGGACCUGUGACUUGUUUCUACCAACAGAAUGUGGCCAAAGUGAUGCCGUGUCAGUUCCUGGCCAAACUUUAGGAGACUUGAUAGCUCUACUUUCUUUCUGGGGGAAGCCAACCACCACAUAAGAAGGCAGAUGCUUUGACACCCACAUGGCGAGGAAGCCCAAACAGGCUAUGCAAAGAGACCCCGUGAAGAAGAACUGAGGAAUCCAGCUGAUGGCGAGCACGGGCCUCCAGACACAUGACCCCAGUCAAGCCAUCCAGCCAGCGCUCAGCCAUUCAGCUGCAAGGCUCCAGAAUUCAUGGAGCAGAAAAGAGCUAUCUUUGCAGCGCCUGGUCCAAAUUUCUGACCUACAGAACUUGAAGGAGGAAACAAUGAGGGAGAACUUGUUCAAGGAUUUCACUCUUGCUCUCAUACGAGGAACAUCACUGGGCAGCAUCGGGUCCCCAGCCGGAAUCCCUAUCAGUCCACAGCCUUCAGAAUCUCCCAAGUCAAGAGGAAUGGGUCAUCAAAGGUGGCCUUUUCCCCACAGCAUGCUCCUGGCAUUUUCUCCAUCCGAAUCAGAAGACCUAGCCAUCAUCUCUCUCUGUAAAUAACAUACAAGAGACUUUGACCAAGGUCAGCUUCCAGAAGAUUGUCAAAUCUUGUUCUUGCCUCCAUUCUACUGGUUACAUGGCAAUACUAACAGAAAACAUGUCAGGCAGAAAAAAGAUAUUUCUUACAAAAUUCUUGGAUAUGGUAGUAAGUUGUUAGCACAAUACUACUACUUACUCCCAUUUGCCCAUAUCUUGAAUCUUCAAGGAAACUGUAAACUCCUAGAUGACAAGGACUGGGUUAAACUCUCCUAACUGCCCCCAUGCCCAUUCCAUGGUUUACAUAGUACCUGGCACAUCCAAGGCACAGGAAAUAACUUCAUCAUUGUAUCACCAGUGAUUUAACUGACUGGGUUUCCAGCUCUGUACUAAAUAUUUAUCCAAAUUUUAUACUUACAGCAACCCUCUGAAUUAGUGACUAUGAUUAUCUCCAUUUUCGAGAGAAAACAAGCUUGAAGAGGUGAAACAACUGACCCAAGAUUGAAGUAAAAAGGUACACCCAGAAUUGAGACUCAAGUAGGACCUUCUGUCUCCAAAGGCCCAACUCUUUCUACUCUGUGACACUCCAUAUUUUAUAAAUGUUACAACAUCAUUGGUGGCUCUAAAAUGUCUCUUUAUUCAAAAAUAAAGCCAAGGGACUUCCCUGGUGGUCCA